AUACGUAGGUGACAAGCGUUAUCCGGAUUUACUGGGCGUAAAGGGCGUGUAGGCGGUCUUGCAAGUCAGAAGUGAAAUUCCUGAGCUCAACUCGGGCGCUGCUUCUGAAACUGCAGGACUUGAGUGCUGGAGGGGAUAGCGGAAUUCCUAGUGGAGCGGUAAAAUGCGCAGAUAUUAGGAAGAACACCGGUGGCGAAGGCGGAUUGCUGGACGACAACUGACGUUGAGGCGCGAAAGCGUGGGGAGCAAACAGGGUUAUAUACCCUGGUAGUCCACGCUGUAAACUAUGAAUACUAGGUGUGCGGGGACUGACCCCCUGCGUGCCGCAGCUAACGCAAUAAGUAUUCCACCUGGGGAGUACGAUCGCAAGGUUGAAACUCAAAUGAAUUGGCUGGG
This 396-nucleotide ribosomal RNA is filed under the name uncultured bacterium. Its description in RNAcentral is "partial 16S ribosomal RNA". It matches the Rfam family "Bacterial small subunit ribosomal RNA", at positions 523 to 918 of the family's 1533-position model. The record is from RNAcentral.